GCGUUGGUGGUUCAGUGGUAGAAUUCUCGCCUGCCACGCGGGAGACCGGGGUUCGAUUCGCAGCCAACGCA
Molecule: transfer RNA, 71 nt
Filed under: Paramuricea clavata
Lineage: Eukaryota; Metazoa; Cnidaria; Anthozoa; Malacalcyonacea; Plexauridae
Rfam family: tRNA
About the family: Transfer RNA (tRNA) molecules are approximately 80 nucleotides in length. Their secondary structure includes four short double-helical elements and three loops (D, anti-codon, and T loops).
Source: Rfam by way of RNAcentral